GACGAACGCUGGCGGCGUGCCUAAUACAUGCAAGUUGAGCGAUGAAGAUUGGUGCUUGCACCAAUUUGAAGAGCAGCGAACGGGUGAGUAACGCGUGGGGAAUCUGCCUUUGAGCGGGGGACAACAUUUGGAAACGAAUGCUAAUACCGCAUAACAACUUUAAACAUAAGUUUUAAGUUUGAAAGAUGCAAUUGCAUCACUCAAAGAUGAUCCCGCGUUGUAUUAGCUAGUUGGUGAGGUAAAGGCUCACCAAGGCGAUGAUACAUAGCCGACCUGAGAGGGUGAUCGGCCAAAUUGGGAUUGAGACACGGCCCAAACUCCUACGGGAGGCAGCAGUAGGGAAUCUUCGGCAAUGGACGAAAGUCUGACCGAGCAACGCCGCGUGAGUGAAGAAGGGUUUCGGAUCGUAAAACUCUGUUGGUAGAGAAGAACGUUGGUGAGAGUGGAAAGCUCAUCAAGUGACGGUAACUACCCAGAAAGGGACGGCUAACUACGUG
RNAcentral lists this ribosomal RNA (497 nucleotides) under uncultured bacterium. RNAcentral describes it as "partial 16S ribosomal RNA". It matches the Rfam family "Bacterial small subunit ribosomal RNA", at positions 28 to 507 of the family's 1533-position model. The record is from RNAcentral.